Molecule: long non-coding RNA, 256 nt
Filed under: Mus caroli (Ryukyu mouse)
Lineage: Eukaryota; Metazoa; Chordata; Mammalia; Rodentia; Muridae
Description: lncRNA (MGP_CAROLIEiJ_G0005759.1)
Source: RNAcentral
GAACAUUCAAUCUCUUAAUGAGGAGAGGUGACUGCUGAAGGUGCACUGCAGUUACAUUGGAGACCCCAGCACAUUUGACAUGGCAGGAACAUGGGAUCACCUCUGAGGACAGAAGACACAGUGGAGUUGAGCUUGCCUGAGUCUACAAAGCAAGCCCAGACGAUUUUGUGGUGCUGAUGCAGUCGUCACAUGCAAUGCUGAUGCACCAUGCUCUCCACCGAGCCCGCUGCCUCCUGUUUGCUUCUCUCCACUUAAG